UACACGGGGACGCAGCAGUGGGGAAUUUUUGGACAAUGGAAACCCUGAUCCAGCCAUCCCGCGUGUGCGAUGAAGGCCUUCGGGUUGUAAGCUUCUUUGGCGGAAGAAAACGCGCGGAUGAAAUACGAAUGCAACUAAGGCAAAAUACCACUGCGAAUGCUUACAGUAACUACUGUGCCCAACAGCCGCGGUAAUACGUAGGGUGCAAGCGUUGAUAAAAGGAUACUACGGGCGUAAAGCGUGCGCAGGCGAGUUCGGAAAGAAAGAUGUGAAAUCCGGAAGCGCUUUGGAACUGCAUUUUUAACUACCGAGCUAGAGUGUGUCAGAGGAGGUGGAAUUCCGCGUGUAGCAGUGAAAUGCGUAGAUAUGCGGAGGGAACACCGAUGGCGAAGGCAGCCUCCUGGGAUAACACUGACGCUCAUGCACGAAAGCGUGGGAGCAAACGAGUUAGGCCCUGGUAGU
Molecule: unclassified non-coding RNA, 462 nt
Filed under: uncultured Bordetella sp.
Lineage: Bacteria; Pseudomonadati; Pseudomonadota; Betaproteobacteria; Burkholderiales; Alcaligenaceae
Description: partial 16S-23S ribosomal RNA intergenic spacer
Rfam family: Bacterial small subunit ribosomal RNA
Source: RNAcentral